GCCGAGGUGGUGGAAUUGGUAAACACGCUACCUUGAGGUGGUAGUGCCGUAAGGCUUACGGGUUCAAAUCCCGUCCUCGGUAC
RNAcentral lists this transfer RNA (83 nucleotides) under Candidatus Mikella endobia. Its description in RNAcentral is "tRNA-Leu". It matches the Rfam family "tRNA". Rfam says of the family: Transfer RNA (tRNA) molecules are approximately 80 nucleotides in length. The record is from RNAcentral. Lineage: Bacteria; Pseudomonadati; Pseudomonadota; Gammaproteobacteria; Enterobacterales; Enterobacteriaceae.